Molecule: ribosomal RNA, 805 nt
Filed under: uncultured bacterium
Lineage: Bacteria
Description: bacterial SSU rRNA
Rfam family: Bacterial small subunit ribosomal RNA
Source: RNAcentral
GUCGAGGGGCAGCAUAUGAGUAGCAAUACUUAUGAUGGCGACCGGCGCACGGGUGCGUAACGCGUAUGCAACCUACCUUUUACAGGGGCAUAACACUGAGAAAUCGGUACUAAUUCCCCAUAAUAUCUGAGACGGCAUCGUUUCGGGUUGAAAACUCCGGUGGUAAAAGAUGGGCAUGCGUUGUAUUAGCUGGUUGGUGAGGUAACGGCUCACCAAGGCGACGAUACAUAGGGGGACUGAGAGGUUAACCCCCCACAUUGGUACUGAGACACGGACCAAACUCCUACGGGAGGCAGCAGUGAGGAAUAUUGGUCAAUGGACGCAAGUCUGAACCAGCCAUGCCGCGUGCAGGAAGACGGCUCUAUGAGUUGUAAACUGCUUUUGUACGAGGGUAAAUGCAGGUACGUGUAUCUGUUUGAAAGUAUCGUACGAAUAAGGAUCGGCUAACUCCGUGCCAGCAGCCGCGGUAAUACGGAGGAUCCAAGCGUUAUCCGGAUUUAUUGGGUUUAAAGGGUGCGUAGGCGGUUUUAUAAGUUAGAGGUGAAAUCUCGGGGCUCAACUCCGAAAUUGCCUCUAAUACUGUAGGACUAGAGAGUAGUUGCGGUAAGCGGAAUGUAUGGUGUAGCGGUGAAAUGCUUAGAGAUCAUACAGAACACCGAUUGCGAAGGCAGCUUACCAAACUAUAUCUGACGUUGAGGCACGAAAGCGUGGGGAGCAAACAGGAUUAGAUACCCUGGUAGUCCACGCAGUAAACGAUGAUAACUCGUUGUCGGCGAUACACAGUCGGUGACUAAGCGAAAGCGAU